AAAAGCAGCAUCAUUGAAGGUGAAAAUCCUGUAGAUGAUAUGGACUACCAGUAUAUUUGUGAURCGGUUUCUAAGAGUCGAGUUGUUUGGGAAUGCAGCUCAAAGUGGGUGGUAAAUUCCAUCUAAGGCUAAAUAUGAGUGAGAGACCGAUAGCAUACAAGUACCGUGAGGGAAAGAUGAAAAGAACUUUGAAAAUAGAGUUAACAGUACGUGAAAUUGCUGAAAGGGAAACGUUUGAAGUUAGUUUUGUAUUCGUUGGAUCAGCUUYGRAAGGAGUGUAUUCYGAUGAUAAGCAAGUCAACAUCARUCUAUGAGUGYYGGAUAAGGGUYUUGAGAAYGUAGCAAUUCARUUGUGUUAUAGCUYRAGACUUGGAUACRRUGCUUUGGAYUGAGGAACGCGUAGUAAGCUUUGAGYGGAUUYGAAAGRAUCUCCUUACUAUGGAUGUUGGUGAAAUAACUUUAAGCGACCCGUCUUGAAACACGGACCAAGGAGUCUAACAUGCUUGCGAGUAUUAGGGYGUUGAAACCCGAAUGCGUAAUGAAAGURAAUCUAAGAUGUGAUCCGCAAGGUGCAACAUYGGCCGGUCYGGAUCAUUUAUGUGAAGGUACUGAGCAAGAGCAAGUAUGUUAGGACCCGAAAGAUGGUGAACUAUGCCUGGAUAGGGUGAAGUCAGAGGAAACUCUGAUGGAAG
RNAcentral lists this ribosomal RNA (692 nucleotides) under Melampsora cf. yezoensis MCA4687. RNAcentral describes it as "partial 28S ribosomal RNA". It matches the Rfam family "Eukaryotic large subunit ribosomal RNA", at positions 193 to 873 of the family's 3401-position model. Lineage: Eukaryota; Fungi; Basidiomycota; Pucciniomycetes; Pucciniales; Melampsoraceae. The record is from RNAcentral.